This 71-nucleotide transfer RNA is filed under the name Loxodonta africana (African savanna elephant). It matches the Rfam family "tRNA". From Rfam's summary of the family: Transfer RNA (tRNA) molecules are approximately 80 nucleotides in length. Their secondary structure includes four short double-helical elements and three loops (D, anti-codon, and T loops). The record is from Rfam by way of RNAcentral. Lineage: Eukaryota; Metazoa; Chordata; Mammalia; Proboscidea; Elephantidae.
GCAGUGGUGGUUCAGUGGUAGAAUUCUCAGCUCCCAUGUGGGAAACUCAGGUUCAAUUCCCAGCCAACGCA